RNAcentral lists this ribosomal RNA (401 nucleotides) under uncultured bacterium. RNAcentral describes it as "bacterial SSU rRNA". It matches the Rfam family "Bacterial small subunit ribosomal RNA", at positions 355 to 773 of the family's 1533-position model. The record is from RNAcentral.
UGGGGAAUAUUGGACAAUGGGCGCAAGCCUGAUCCAGCCAUGCCGCGUGGAUGAUGAAGGUCUUAGGAUUGUAAAAUUCUUUCACCGGGGAAGAUAAUGACGGUACCCGGAGAAGAAGCCCCGGCUAACUUCGUGCCAGCAGCCGCGGUAAUACGAAGGGGGCAAGCGUUGCUCGGAAUUACUGGGCGUAAAGGGCGCGUAGGCGGACAUUUAAGUCAGAGGUGAAAGCCCAGGGCUCAACCUUGGAAUUGCCUUUGAUACUGGAUGUCUUGAGUUCGGGAGAGGUGAGUGGAAUGCCGAGUGUAGAGGUGAAAUUCGUAGAUAUUCGGCGGAACACCAGUGGCGAAGGCGACUCACUGGCCCGAUACUGACGCUGAGGCGCGAAAGCGUGGGGAGCAAAC